AGGACGAACGCUGGCGGCGUGCUUAACACAUGCAAGUCGAGCGGAAAGGCCCUUCGGGGUACUCGAGCGGCGAACGGGUGAGUAACACGUGAGGAACCUGCCCUGGACUUUGGGAUAACCCUCGGAAACGGGGGCUAAUACCGAAUACGACUGCUGAUCGCAUGGUUGGUGGUGGAAAGUUUUUCGGUCUGGGAUGGUCUCGCGGCCUAUCAGCUUGUUGGUGGGGUAAUGGCCUACCAAGGCGACGACGGGUAG
This 255-nucleotide ribosomal RNA is filed under the name uncultured bacterium. RNAcentral describes it as "partial small subunit ribosomal RNA". It matches the Rfam family "Bacterial small subunit ribosomal RNA", at positions 26 to 286 of the family's 1533-position model. The record is from RNAcentral.